RNAcentral lists this long non-coding RNA (1367 nucleotides) under Marmota monax (woodchuck). The record is from RNAcentral. Lineage: Eukaryota; Metazoa; Chordata; Mammalia; Rodentia; Sciuridae.
GGAAUCUCUCCCCUCCCCCCUUCUCCACCAGCCUUCUCCACCCUGCCUCCAUCCCUCUCUGCUGGCCCCCAGGAGGCUGAACUGCGAGGUUAAAUAAAUAUCUGACGGUGGCUCCAGGAAACGAGUCAAGACCGCUGCCGAGAGAAAAAACCCAGACCUCGGUGGAGAUCCGCCCCGAAUCUCAAGCAGCUCUCGCUCCGCCCAGGAUGACUGCGGAGGUUUUGGCCCCCUCGGGGCUCGCCCAAAUUCCCCAAGACAGCCAGCCUCCUCCGAGCGGGCGCAGCCCCUCUGCUCCGACCUCCUCUAGCCCUGGCGCUGGGCAAGCCCGGGUCGAUGCGCGGGGGUUACCGUAUUUCCUCUUGCGCCCUAGGUUUUGAGCGCAGGUAUUUAACUUCUCCAACACAAGAAAGAGUGCUCUUCUUACUAUGGAAAGGGCUCUAUUGGGAGUGGGAAGACAGGAGGCUUCGGUUUUGCUCUCUUAGCUCGACCAUUAAUUUCUGCUGACCUGCCCUCCUUUAAGUCCAGUUUCCUUUUUCCACCUGAACACAUAGUAGGCACCUCAAAUUCAGCUUGCAUGACUUCAAAAUUUCAAACCCUUGUCCGGCCCCCAAAUCCCCCACCCCCAGUCCUGCACCCAUCAGUCUCCUUCAUUUCAGGAAAGGAUAACUUGUCUUCCCAGUUAUUCCAGAAGAAAAUCUUGGGGGUUACUCUCAACUUUUUUUCCUGCCAUAACUCAUCUGAAUGCUUAGCAAACCUUAUUUUGCCUUCCAAAUAUGUGUAGAAGCUGCUUUUCUUCACCACACUCCACUGAGCUCACUGUUCCAAGCCACCAUCUUUUCUUGCUGAGACAUCGCAACACUAACUUGGUCCCUUCCGCACCUCUUUUUUCUUAGUCCAUCCUGAACAGAGCGCCCAGAGUUUUCAUUUUAAAACAAAAGUCAGAUCUUGUCCCUCUUAUGUGUUUAGAAUCCUCCAGUGAUUGUACAUCUCACUCAGGAACAGUUCCUUACCAGACCCUACUGAUCUCAUCACCUCCCUGUCCUUCCUCCUACCCGGCCACCCACAUUCUGCUCUAGCCUCAUUGCCCCCUCACUGUUGCACAGGCAGAUCCACACACUGUUGCCUCAGGGCCUUUGAACUGCUGUCCCCUCUGCUUGAAAUAAUGCUUCCCCAGCACCCUAAUGUGCUGCCCAUCCUGCUUUGAAGUUUUGUCUGACCAACACCCCACCUGUUACCCACACAGGUGGUCCAUUUCCUUUGCCCUGCUUUCUUUUUCCCAAGUAUUUGGGGAAAGGGUUACUGGGAAUUGAACAAAUGGCUCCUUACCACUGAGUUACAUCCCCUGGUCUUUUUAUUUUUUUCUUCCA